This 253-nucleotide ribosomal RNA is filed under the name uncultured Brevundimonas sp. RNAcentral's name for it is "partial 16S ribosomal RNA". It matches the Rfam family "Bacterial small subunit ribosomal RNA", at positions 524 to 776 of the family's 1533-position model. Lineage: Bacteria; Pseudomonadati; Pseudomonadota; Alphaproteobacteria; Caulobacterales; Caulobacteraceae. The record is from RNAcentral.
UACGAAGGGGGCUAGCGUUGCUCGGAAUUACUGGGCGUAAAGGGAGCGUAGGCGGACAUUUAAGUCAGGGGUGAAAUCCCAGAGCUCAACUCUGGAACUGCCUUUGAUACUGGGUGUCUUGAGUGUGAGAGAGGUAAGUGGAACUCCGAGUGUAGAGGUGAAAUUCGUAGAUAUUCGGAAGAACACCAGUGGCGAAGGCGACUUACUGGCUCAUUACUGACGCUGAGGCUCGAAAGCGUGGGGAGCAAACAGG